Molecule: small nuclear RNA, 107 nt
Filed under: Microcebus murinus (gray mouse lemur)
Lineage: Eukaryota; Metazoa; Chordata; Mammalia; Primates; Cheirogaleidae
Source: RNAcentral
GUGCUUGCUUUGGCAGCAUAUAUACUAAAAUUGGAACCAUACAGAGAAGAUUAACAUGGCUCCUGAAAAAAAAGAAAAACAAGUAGGAUGAUAAUGGCACUCCUUAU